This 226-nucleotide ribosomal RNA is filed under the name uncultured microorganism. Its description in RNAcentral is "partial 16S ribosomal RNA". It matches the Rfam family "Bacterial small subunit ribosomal RNA", at positions 9 to 239 of the family's 1533-position model. The record is from RNAcentral.
GAGUUUGAUCAUGGCUCAGGACGAACGCUGGCGGCGUGCCUAAUACAUGCAAGUCGAGCGAGUCUCUUCGGAGGCUAGCGGCGGACGGGUGAGUAACACGUAGGCAACCUGCCUCUCAGACCGGAUAACAUAGGGAACUUAUGCUAAUACCGGAUAGGUUUUUGGAUUGCAUGAUCCGAAAGAAAGAUGGCUUUUCGCUAGUCACUGGGAGAUGGGCCUGCGGCGC